CCUACGGGAGGCAGCAGUGGGGAAUAUUGCACAAUGGGGGAAACCCUGAUGCAGCGACGCCGCGUGAGUGAAGAAGUAUUUCGGUAUGUAAAGCUCUAUCAGCAGGGAAGAAAUAAAGUCCUUCGGACUUUGGACGGUACCUGACUAAGAAGCCCCGGCUAACUACGUGCCAGCAGCCGCGGUAAUACGUAGGGGGCAAGCGUUAUCCGGAUUUACUGGGUGUAAAGGGAGCGUAGACGGCAGCGCAAGUCUGGAGUGAAAUCCCAUGGCUUAACCAUGGAACUGCAUUGGAAACUGUGCGGCUGGAGUGCAUGAGAGGUAAGCGGAAUUCCUAGUGUAGCGGUGAAAUGCGUAGAUAUUAGGAGGAACACCAGUGGCGAAGGCGGCUUACUGGACUGUAACUGACGUUGAGGCUCGAAAGCGUGGGGAGCAAACAGGAUUAGAUACCCUUGUAGUC
Molecule: ribosomal RNA, 457 nt
Filed under: uncultured bacterium
Lineage: Bacteria
Description: partial 16S ribosomal RNA
Rfam family: Bacterial small subunit ribosomal RNA
Source: RNAcentral